RNAcentral lists this transfer RNA (76 nucleotides) under Helicobacter pylori. RNAcentral's name for it is "tRNA-Arg". It matches the Rfam family "tRNA". From Rfam's summary of the family: Transfer RNA (tRNA) molecules are approximately 80 nucleotides in length. The record is from RNAcentral. Lineage: Bacteria; Pseudomonadati; Campylobacterota; Epsilonproteobacteria; Campylobacterales; Helicobacteraceae. RNAcentral also lists the same sequence under 2 other names.
GGUCGCGUAGCUCAGGGGAUAGAGCACAUGCCUUCUAAGCCUGUGGUCGCAGGUUCGAAUCCUGCCGCGAUCGCCA